CUUGUGAUGACGCUGUUUUGCUCCAAUGCUGGUUACUAGCUUCAGUUAUUUGCUUGAGCUCUUGAAAAUGAGAAGAAGUCAUUGUUUCUGACAUAUCUCCCGCUUUUGAUGAUCUGGUCCGGAUUCUGAGCCCUCUCCUGUAUUAACCUAGGAUGCACGGAAACGGGAGGCGGGAGCGUUUCCCCGUUCUGGAAACGUUUCCUCGCCGGAAACGUUAGGACACGGCGAGGAAACGUCUCCGGGCCGUUUCCGUAAUUCCUUGAAAUCGGAAACGCGUUUCCUCCGGACCGGUUUUUUAAAAAAAAAAAAAAAAGGUCGCACCUCAAGGAAGAAAGGAGAAGGC
Molecule: unclassified non-coding RNA, 343 nt
Filed under: Hevea brasiliensis (rubber tree)
Lineage: Eukaryota; Viridiplantae; Streptophyta; Magnoliopsida; Malpighiales; Euphorbiaceae
Source: RNAcentral